This 502-nucleotide ribosomal RNA is filed under the name uncultured bacterium. Its description in RNAcentral is "partial 16S ribosomal RNA". It matches the Rfam family "Bacterial small subunit ribosomal RNA", at positions 29 to 523 of the family's 1533-position model. The record is from RNAcentral.
AUUGAACGCUGGCGGCGUGCUUAACACAUGCAAGUCGAUCGGUAACAGGUGUAGCAAUACAUGCUGACGAGAGGCGGACGGGUGAGGAACGCUUGGGAAUCUGCCUAUCAGCGGGGGACAACCCGGGGAAACUCGGGCUAAUACCGCAUACGCUCUACGGAGGAAAGCCGGGGACCGCAAGGCCUGGCACUGAUAGAUGAGCCCAAGUCGGAUUAGCUAGUUGGCGGGGUAACGGCCCACCAAGGCGACGAUCCGUAGCUGGUCUGAGAGGACGAUCAGCCACACCGGAACUGAGACACGGUCCGGACUCCUACGGGAGGCAGCAGUGGGGAAUAUUGGACAAUGGGGGAAACCCUGAUCCAGCGACGCCGCGUGGGUGAAGAAGGCCUGCGGGUUGUAAAGCCCUUUCGGUAGGGAAGAAAUCUCUUGCUCUAACAAAGCAGGAGUUUGACUUAACCUACAUAAGAAGCACCGGCUAACUCUGUGCCAGCCGCCGCUGUAA